UCCAGACUCCUACGGGAGGCAGCAGUGAGGAAUAUUGGUCAAUGGCCGAGAGGCUGAACCAGCCAAGUCGCGUGAGGGAAGACGGCCCUACGGGUUGUAAACCUCUUUUGUCGGGGAGCAAAGCGAGUCACGUGUGACUCAUUGAGAGUACCCGAAGAAAAAGCAUCGGCUAACUCCGUGCCAGCAGCCGCGGUAAUACGGAGGAUGCGAGCGUUAUCCGGAUUUAUUGGGUUUAAAGGGUGCGCAGGCGGGCUGUUAAGCCGGCGGUAAAAAUUCAGGGCUCAACCUUGUCGAGCCGUCGGAACUGGCAGUCUUGAGUGGGCGAGAAGUAUGCGGAAUGCGUGGUGUAGCGGUGAAAUGCAUAGAUAUCACGCAGAACUCCGAUUGCGAAGGCAGCAUACCGGCGGCGAUCUGACGCUGAGGCACGAAAGCGUGGGUAUCGAACAGGAUUAGAUACCCUAGUAC
RNAcentral lists this ribosomal RNA (465 nucleotides) under uncultured bacterium. RNAcentral's name for it is "bacterial SSU rRNA". It matches the Rfam family "Bacterial small subunit ribosomal RNA", at positions 330 to 793 of the family's 1533-position model. The record is from RNAcentral.